Molecule: unclassified non-coding RNA, 370 nt
Filed under: uncultured fungus
Lineage: Eukaryota; Fungi
Description: sequence contains ITS1
Rfam family: 5.8S ribosomal RNA (bases 1-106)
Source: RNAcentral
AAAUUCGAUACUUGGUGUGAAUUACAGAAUCCCGCGAACCAUCGAGUCUUUGAACGCAAGUUGAGCCCGAAGCCAUUAGGUUGAGGGCACGUCUGCCUGGGCGUCUCACAUUUUGUCGCUCGCGCCCCCUCCCCUUCCACGAAGGGGGGAAGAAAGGCGGCGGGCGAAUGUUGGCCCCCUGCGCGCGUUCGGCCCAAAAGUGAGUCCCUCGCGACGGACGAUGCGUUGCAACGAGUGGUGGUUGGCAAACCGUUGCGUCGCCUCGCGUGCAUCCGGUCCGUCUCGGGAGGCCUGUCGUGACCCUAUCGCGCCGCCGCCAAGGCGCUCCGAUCACGACCCCAGGUCAGGUGGGAUUUCCAGCUGAGUUUAA